This 447-nucleotide ribosomal RNA is filed under the name uncultured bacterium. RNAcentral describes it as "bacterial SSU rRNA". It matches the Rfam family "Bacterial small subunit ribosomal RNA", at positions 330 to 792 of the family's 1533-position model. The record is from RNAcentral.
UCCAGACUCCUACGGGAGGCAGCAGUGGGGAAUAUUGGACAAUGGGGGGAACCCUGAUCCAGCGACGCCGCGUGAGUGAAGAAGUAUUUCGGUAUGUAAAGCUCUAUCAGCAGGGAAGAAGAAGUGACGGUACCUGACCAAGAAGCCCCGGCUAACUACGUGCCAGCAGCCGCGGUAAUACGUAGGGGGCAAGCGUUAUCCGGAUUUACUGGGUGUAAAGGGAGCGCAGGCGGCGUGGCAAGUCAGAUGUGAAAACCCGGGGCCCAACCCCGGGAGUGCAUUUGAAACUGCCAUGCUGGAGUGCCGGAGAGGUAAGCGGAAUUCCUAGUGUAGCGGUGAAAUGCGUAGAUAUUAGGAGGAACACCAGUGGCGGAGGCGGCUUACUGGACGGUAACUGACGCUGAGGCUCGAAAGCGUGGGGAGCAAACAGGAUUAGAUACCCGAGUA